This 1286-nucleotide long non-coding RNA is filed under the name Heterocephalus glaber (naked mole-rat). Its description in RNAcentral is "lncRNA (ENSHGLG00000045462.1)". The record is from RNAcentral. Lineage: Eukaryota; Metazoa; Chordata; Mammalia; Rodentia; Bathyergidae.
GUUCUUUUCAUCUUUUCCUCAUGGACUCAAGAUAGUUGCUGUGGCCAAAGAUGUCAUUUCCUAAUUACAGACAGAAAGUGAAACACAGGCAAAAGAAUACAGUUUUCAGCUGCAUCAGCCCCUACUAUGGCUUAGAUAUGGUUUUUGCAUAUUUCCAGGGGCUCCCGUGUUGACAUUUAAUACCCGUUGUGAAGAGGAUGGAAAUGGUCCUUACAUACAGCACAUGAUUAAGAUGCUUCGUGGACCAAGAGAUCCUAGAAGGCCUCUUGCGGCUGCUGAAUUGAGUUUGUUCUUGAUCUUCUGCUAUCAAAACCACAGAGCCAGGAAGAUCUAACACCAAGACACAGCUGCCACACACCCAGGAAAGAGAUGAGGCCUGCAGGAAGGACUCUGCUGUUUUCCUGAGGCAUAGAUUCCAGUUCCAUUUCUUUUUCAUGCCUCUGAGUUUCUGGAUUGGAAAGGACAGAUUACUUUUUCUGGUCCCAUUUUAAUUUUUCUCAAAACUCAUAAAAUAUCAUCAGAGUGCUUUUUAAUUUUUCUGAAAAGCAGGAAAUCGUAAGAUUGAUAAAUAGUUUAAUGUGAACCUGAUGGCUUGAUUAAUUAAUCACCAAGCUGAGGAACCACUACAAUUCAUAUGUCAAUUCAGACUAUUUUCGGGAAAUGAUUUGAAUCAAUUGCUAAUGAAAUUGAGAAAUUUAGGAGCUGCUUUCUGACUUCCAAAUGACAGGGCUCAUAUUUAACUCAAGAGCCGUGACAGUUAAUGACAACAUAAAAGUGCCAUGAAUUAUUUUCCAGACCAUGGGAAAAUUACGCAUCUCCCCAUUGAAACAGCUCUCAGCUCAUCAGCAUGAAAAUAAACAGACUUAAUCACACGCUAAGAAAUCUAUGAUGCUGUUAAAAACCUAGGUUCCUUUUGAAAUAAACAAAGACUAUAAUCCUUGGGAAUAAUUGUAAUAUUUCACAGCCUCUUCCUUAACCCAGAGUGAUAGAUGAACUUAGUGUGACUGAUAUUACAGGUGAAAGACUAUAGAAAAAAAUAUUGUGGAUGGUCCUUCUUCUACCCAAUUACUUUAAACCCUUAAAAUAGGUAGAGUUUAAUUUUUCUUCUCUACUUUAAUUCAUAGGCUGAGUUUCUCAGCACCUUUUAUGUUCAAAAGGGCUUGCUUUGUAUAUCUUUCCAUAAGUUUUCAUUUCAAGCCAGACUUUUAAGGUAAUUUAAAGUUACAUUUAGCUAUAACAAGACAGUUAUUGUGUGUUAAUGAAAUAUCAAUGGAAAGUGCACUGAU